UGGACCCGUAAUCCGGGUUGCGGACAGUGUCUGGUGGGUAGUUUGACUGGGGCGGUCUCCUCCUAAAGAGUAACGGAGGAGCACGAAGGUUGGCUAAUCCUGGUCGGACAUCAGGAGGUUAGUGCAAUGGCAUAAGCCAGCUUGACUGCGAGCGUGACGGCGCGAGCAGGUGCGAAAGCAGGUCAUAGUGAUCCGGUGGUUCUGAAUGGAAGGGCCAUCGCUCAACGGAUAAAAGGUACUCCGGGGAUAACAGGCUGAUACCGCCCAAGAGUUCAUAUCGACGGCGGUGUUUGGCACCUCGAUGUCGGCUCAUCACAUCCUGGGGCUGAAGUAGGUCCCAAGGGUAUGGCUGUUCGCCAUUUAAAGUGGUACGCGAGCUGGGUUUAGAACGUCGUGAGACAGUUCGGUCCCUAUCUGCCGUGGGCGCUGGAGAACUGAGGGGGGCUGCUCCUAGUACGAGAGGACCGGAGUGGACGCAUCACUGGUGUUCGGGUUGUCAUGCCAAUGGCACUGCCCGGUAGCUAAAUGCGGAAGAGAUAAGUGCUGAAAGCAUCUAA
Molecule: ribosomal RNA, 557 nt
Filed under: Salmonella enterica
Lineage: Bacteria; Pseudomonadati; Pseudomonadota; Gammaproteobacteria; Enterobacterales; Enterobacteriaceae
Also listed under: 1 other name
Description: partial 23S ribosomal RNA
Rfam family: Bacterial large subunit ribosomal RNA
Source: RNAcentral